This 253-nucleotide ribosomal RNA is filed under the name uncultured bacterium. RNAcentral describes it as "partial 16S ribosomal RNA". It matches the Rfam family "Bacterial small subunit ribosomal RNA", at positions 524 to 776 of the family's 1533-position model. The record is from RNAcentral.
UACGGAGGAUGCAAGCGUUAUCCGGAUUCAUUGGGUUUAAAGGGUGCGCAGGCGGACUGAUAAGUCAGUGGUGAAAUUCUACGGCUCAACUGUAGAACUGCCAUUGAUACUGUCAGACUAGAGUAUAUUUGGAGUGGGCGGAAUGUGUCAUGUAGCGGUGAAAUGCAUAGAUAUGACACAGAACACCGAUCGCGAAGGCAGCUCACUAAGAUACAACUGACGCUCAUGCACGAAAGCGUGGGGAUCAAACAGG